Molecule: ribosomal RNA, 395 nt
Filed under: uncultured bacterium
Lineage: Bacteria
Description: bacterial SSU rRNA
Rfam family: Bacterial small subunit ribosomal RNA
Source: RNAcentral
AUUGAACGCUGGCGGCAUGCCUUACACAUGCAAGUCGAACGGCAGCGGACCUUCGGGUGCCGGCGAGUGGCGAACGGGUGAGUAAUAUAUCGGAACGUACCUUUCAGUGGGGGAUAACGUAGCGAAAGUUACGCUAAUACCGCAUAUUCUGUGAGCAGGAAAGCAGGGGAUCGCAAGACCUUGCGCUGAUUGAGCGGCCGAUAUCAGAUUAGCUAGUUGGUGAGGUAAAGGCUCACCAAGGCGACGAUCUGUAGCGGGUCUGAGGGGAUGAUCCGCCACACUGGAACUGAGACACGGUCCAGACUCCUACGGGAGGCAGCAGUGGGGAAUUUUGGACAAUGGGCGCAAGCCUGAUCCAGCCAUGCCGCGUGAGUGAAGAAGGCCUCGGUUGUAAG